This is a small nuclear RNA of Scophthalmus maximus (turbot), 141 nucleotides long. Its record names the gene U4. It matches the Rfam family "U4 spliceosomal RNA". Rfam says of the family: U4 small nuclear RNA (U4 snRNA) is a component of the major U2-dependent spliceosome. The structure of U4 snRNA from yeast and human has been reported. NCBI's taxonomy places the organism in Eukaryota, Metazoa, Chordata, Actinopteri, Pleuronectiformes, Scophthalmidae. The record is from Ensembl.
AUCUCUGCGCAGUGGCAGUAUCGUAGCCUAUGAGGUUUAUCCGAGGCGUGAUUAUUGCUAGUUGAAAACUUUACCCAAUACCCCGCCUAGACGACUUGAAAUAUAGUCGGCGACGGCAAUUUUUGACGGUCUCUAUGGAGA